GGAUUAUAACGCUGUAGGUACGAACAUCAAUGUACUUCAACCGUUUACGUACUCUUAAUUCGAACAUUAGAACUUGCAAUUGUUUUUAUUUUUAAAUUAAACUGUAUGAGACUACAUAAACUAAAA
Melitaea cinxia (Glanville fritillary) is the source of this 126-nucleotide long non-coding RNA. RefSeq lists it as uncharacterized. NCBI's taxonomy places the organism in Eukaryota, Metazoa, Arthropoda, Insecta, Lepidoptera, Nymphalidae. The transcript has 2 exons. The record is from RefSeq and is a predicted model, not a curated record.